AGAGCUUGAUCCUGGCUCAGGAUGAACGUUGGCGGUGCGCUUUAUGCAUGCAAGUCGUACGAAACCGUAGUUUUCGGAUUAUGGUUUAGUGGCGGACGGCUGAGUAACACGUAGGUAACUUACCCACGAGCGGGGGAUAACUUGCCGAAAGGUAAGCUAAUACCGCAUGAAAUGGAUCUGUUGAAGCAGAUCCAUCAAAGCCGCAAGGCACUUGUGGAUAGGCCUGCGGCCGAUUAGCUUGUUGGCGGGGUAAUGGCCCACCAAGGCUACGAUCGGUAGCUGGUCUGAGAGGAUGUCCAGCCAGAUGGGGACUGAGACACGGCCCCAACUCCUACGGGAGGCAGCAGCAAGGAAUAUUGGGCAAUGGGCGCAAGCCUGACCCAGCGACACCGCGUGGGGGACGAAGGUUUUCGGAUCGUAAACCCCUUUUCUCAGGGAAGAUAAUGACGGUACCUGAGGAAUAAGCCUCGGCCAACUACGUGCCAGCAGCCGCGGUAAUACGUAGGAGGCGAACGUUAUCCGGAUUUACUGGGCGUAAAGGGAGCGUAGGCGGUUUUUUAAGUCGGGUGUGAAAUCUCUUGACUCAAUCGAGAGGGGUCAUCCGAUACUGGACAACUUGAGGGCGGCAGAAGGAAAUGGAAUUCCGAGUGUAGCGGUGAAAUGCGUUGAUAUUCGGAAGAACACCAGUGGCGAAGGCGAUUUCCUAGGCUGUUCCUGACGCUGAGGCUCGAAAGCGUGGGGAGCGAAGCGGAUUAGAUACCCGCGUAGUCCACGCCGUAAACGGUGGACACUUGAUAUGGGGAGUAUCGACCCUCCUCGUGUCGAAGCUAACGCU
RNAcentral lists this ribosomal RNA (835 nucleotides) under Dehalococcoidia bacterium. RNAcentral describes it as "bacterial SSU rRNA". It matches the Rfam family "Bacterial small subunit ribosomal RNA", at positions 8 to 859 of the family's 1533-position model. Lineage: Bacteria; Bacillati; Chloroflexota; Dehalococcoidia. The record is from RNAcentral.